Molecule: transfer RNA, 46 nt
Filed under: Pyemotes zhonghuajia
Lineage: Eukaryota; Metazoa; Arthropoda; Arachnida; Trombidiformes; Pyemotidae
Description: tRNA-Ser
Source: RNAcentral
UAAGGUGUUUAUAAAAGCUGCUAACUUUUUACUCAACCCACCUUUA